GAUGAAGAACGCAGCGAAAUGCGAUAAGUAAUGUGAAUUGCAGAAUUCAGUGAAUCAUCGAAUCUUUGAACGCACCUUGCACCCUUUGGACUGCUCCAAAGGGUAUGCUCGUUUGAGUGUCAUUGUACUCUCACACUCUCUGAUCCUUUGGAUUUGGGGAGCAGUGGACUUGGGUGCUUGCUGCUUCCUUGUGGCUCACCUGAAAUGCAUCAGUGCAUCUCUCGAUUGGACAUAGUACGGCGUGAUAAGUGUCUUCGCCGGCACCUCAUAUGAGGGUGGCCGAUCGGGAGCUCUGUGCUUUCAAACCGUCUUCGGACAACGCUGACAACUUGACCUCAAAUCGAGUAGGACUACCCGCUGAACUUAAGCAUAUCAAUAAGCGAGGA
Molecule: unclassified non-coding RNA, 386 nt
Filed under: soil metagenome
Description: partial contains 5.8S ribosomal RNA, internal transcribed spacer 2, and large subunit ribosomal RNA
Rfam family: 5.8S ribosomal RNA (bases 1-122)
Source: RNAcentral